This 725-nucleotide unclassified non-coding RNA is filed under the name Zea mays. RNAcentral describes it as "misc RNA Zm00001eb229710". Lineage: Eukaryota; Viridiplantae; Streptophyta; Magnoliopsida; Poales; Poaceae. The record is from RNAcentral.
CUUUUUUUAUUGCAGGCGGUCGUGAUCACAAUCCCAAUCAGAGACGGGUGAAUGAAACAUGUUAAAACAAUAAUGUCAAAAAAUAAAGCAAAAAAGGACGGAAAUUCAAGCCAUCUUUGGGCUCAAACCCUCAACACUUGGCCAUGCAUGCAGCAUUCUUGGGUGGGUCGUCGAUCAGUGGCCGCCGGUCACGGUGUCCUUGACACCCGCCGCCGCGCCGGUCACCGUGUUCGUGACGCCCGCCACCGCGCCGGUCACCGUGUUCGUGACGCCCGCCGCCACGCCCGCCACCGUGUUGGUGACGCCAACCGCCGCGCCCGCCACCGUGUCCUUGACGCCUGCCGCCACGCCCUGGCCCGUCUGCGCCACCUGCUCAGCAGCCUUGUGUUAUAUUGGCAAGCACCACCGCGCGGCAGGAGGGAGAUUCCAGCUGCUGUUAGUUACCUGCUCAACGGUGCCGGUGGCGCGGUGCUGCUGCAGCUGCGCGCUGUCGGCCGCGGCUCCGGCGGUGUCCUUGACGCACUGCGCCGCGUGCUCCGCCUGGUACUGCACACACGCAACCAUAUGAGAUGUGAUCUGCUCGGAUUGGAUUGGAUUGGACUGGAAGGACGACGCCGCCGCGGCCGGAGCUGCUCACCUCGCCCUGGGCCUCCGCCUUGCCGGCCUGGAAGGACUGCCCGAUGUUCGACAUUGCCGAUGGAUGAUCUGAUCUCUGCUUGCUGCUC